GUUUAUGGCUGGGCUACCUUGAACAAGCCCGAUCCUAUCUGAUCUCGGAAGCUAAGCAGGGUCAGGCCUGGUUAGUACUUGGAUGGGAGACCACCUAGAAAGACCAGAUGCUGUAGGCA
Molecule: ribosomal RNA, 119 nt
Filed under: Pteropus alecto (black flying fox)
Lineage: Eukaryota; Metazoa; Chordata; Mammalia; Chiroptera; Pteropodidae
Source: RNAcentral